CCAGCAAUGCCGCGUGUGUGAAGAAGGCCUUCGGGUUGUAAAGCACUUUUGUUAGGGAGGAAAGUCUGGUAGCUAAUAACUGCUAGAUCUGACGUUACCUAAAGAAUCAGCACCGGCUAACUCUGUGCCAGCAGCCGCGGUAAUACAGAGGGUGCAAGCGUUAAUCGGAAUUACUGGGCGUAAAGGGUCUGUAGGCGGAUUAUUAAGUCGGAUGUGAAAUCCCCGGGCUCAACCUGGGAACGGCAUUCGAUACUGGUAGUCUAGAGUGUGCAAGAGGAUGGGGGAAUUCCUGGUGUAGCAGUGAAAUGCGUAGAGAUCAGGAGGAACAUCAAUGGCGAAGGCACCUUUCUGGGGCAACACUGACGCUGAGAGACGAAAGCGUGGGGAGCAAACAGGAUUAGAUACCCUGGUAGUCCACGCCCUAAACGAUGUCAACUAACUGUUCGGAGUCACUAAGAUUCUGAGUAGUGAAGCUAACGCGAUAAGUUGACCGCCUGGGGAGUACGGCCGCAAGGUUGAAACUCAAAGAAAUUGACGGGGGCCCGCACAAGCGGUGGAGUAUGUGGUUUAAUUCGAUGCAACGCGAAGAACCUUACCCGGUCUUGACAUGGUAGGAAUCUUGUAGAGAUACGAGAGUGCCUUCGGGAACCU
This 651-nucleotide ribosomal RNA is filed under the name uncultured bacterium. Its description in RNAcentral is "bacterial SSU rRNA". It matches the Rfam family "Bacterial small subunit ribosomal RNA", at positions 388 to 1029 of the family's 1533-position model. The record is from RNAcentral.